RNAcentral lists this ribosomal RNA (497 nucleotides) under uncultured bacterium. RNAcentral describes it as "partial 16S ribosomal RNA". It matches the Rfam family "Bacterial small subunit ribosomal RNA", at positions 28 to 507 of the family's 1533-position model. The record is from RNAcentral.
GAUGAACGCUGGCGGUGUGCCUAAUACAUGCAAGUCGAGCGAACAGACGAGGAGCUUACUCCUCUGACGUUAGCGGCGGACGGGUGAGUAACACGUGGAUAACCUACCUAUAAGACUGGGAUAACUUCGGGAAACCGGAGCUAAUACCGGAUAAUAUGUUGAACCGCAUGGUUCAACAGUGAAAGACGGUCUUGCUGUUACUUAUAGAUGGAUCCGCGUUGCAUUAGCUAGUUGGUAAGGUAACGGCUUACCAAGGCAACGAUGCGUAGCCGACCUGAGAGGGUGAUCGGCCACACUGGAACUGAGACACGGUCCAGACUCCUACGGGAGGCAGCAGUAGGGAAUCUUCCGCAAAGGGCGAAAGCCUGACGGAGCAACGCCGCGUGAGUGAAGAAGGUCUUCGGAUCGUAAAACUCUGUUAUUAGGGAAGAAAAAAUGUGUAAGUAACUAUGCACGUCUUGACGGUACCUAAACAGAAAGCCCCGGCUAACUUCGUG